RNAcentral lists this ribosomal RNA (396 nucleotides) under Mytilus sp. CHLF3. RNAcentral describes it as "partial 16S ribosomal RNA". It matches the Rfam family "Bacterial large subunit ribosomal RNA", at positions 1909 to 2551 of the family's 2925-position model. The record is from RNAcentral. Lineage: Eukaryota; Metazoa; Mollusca; Bivalvia; Mytilida; Mytilidae.
AGAGUAAUGUUUGUUGUAAACGGCGGCGUUAACGUGAGCGUCCUAAGGUAGCGCGAUAAUUUGCUUUUCAAUUGAAGGAUGGUAUGAAAGGGUUAACGAAGAAGGUGCUGUGUCUAAAAAUUCAAUUUAAACUAACUUUAAGGUGAAGAGGCCUUUAUGUAAAAGAAGGACGACAAGACCCUAUGAAGCUUUAUCUUAAUUGGAGCUUUCAGGCUCUUAUACGAUUUUGAUGGGAGAUCAGUAGAAAUAAGUCCUCUACUAUUAUAUUAAUCUUACUAGUAUUUCCUAACUUUAUAUGUGUGACUAGCUACUCUAGGGAUAACAGCGCAAUUUCUCCCGAAAGAUGGUAUUGGAGGGGAAGAUUGCGACCUCGAUGUUGGCUUUAGAUACCCUAGA